Molecule: ribosomal RNA, 484 nt
Filed under: uncultured bacterium
Lineage: Bacteria
Description: partial 16S ribosomal RNA
Rfam family: Bacterial small subunit ribosomal RNA
Source: RNAcentral
AUCGAACGCUGGCGGCAGGCCUAACACAUGCAAGUCGAGCGGAUGAAGCGAGCUUGCUCCUGGAUUCAUCCGCGGACGGGUGAGUAAUGCCUAGGAAUCUGCCUGGUAGUGGGGGAUAACGUCCGGAAACGGGCUCUAAUACCGCAUACGUCCUUUGGUCGAAAGUGGAUGAUCUUCGGACCUCACGCUAUCAUAUUAGCAUAGGUCGGUUUAGCUAGUUGGUGGCGUAAAGGCCUAACAAGGCGACGAUCCGUAACUGGUCUGAGAGGAUGAUCAGUCACACUGGAACUGAGACACGGCCGAGACUCCGACGGGAGGAAGCAGUGGGGAAUAUUGGACGAUGGGCGAAAGCCUGAUCCAGCCAUGCCGGGUGUGUGAAGAAGGUCUUCGGAUGGGAGAGCACUGAAAGUUGGGGGGAAGGGCAGUAAGUUAAUACCUUGCGGUUUUGACAUUACCAACAGAAUAAGCACCGGCUAACUUCGUG